This 447-nucleotide ribosomal RNA is filed under the name uncultured bacterium. Its description in RNAcentral is "bacterial SSU rRNA". It matches the Rfam family "Bacterial small subunit ribosomal RNA", at positions 28 to 464 of the family's 1533-position model. The record is from RNAcentral.
GACGAACGCUGGCGGCAUGCCUAAUACAUGCAAGUCGUGCGAACUGACGAAGUACUUGUACUUUUGAGGUUAGCGGCGAACGGGUGAGUAACACGUAAGGAAUCUACCUAUAAGCGGGGGAUAACAUUCGGAAACGGAUGCUAAUACCGCAUAAUACAUAUUUCCGCAUGGAAAUACGUUGAAAGACGGCUCUGCUGUCACUUAUAGAUGACCUUGCGGUGCAUUAGUUAGUUGGUGGGGUAAUGGCCUACCAAGACGAUGAUGCAUAGCCGACCUGAGAGGGUGAUCGGCCACAUUGGGACUGAGACACGGCCCAAACUCCUACGGGAGGCAGCAGUAGGGAAUCUUCCGCAAUGGGCGAAAGCCUGACGGAGCAAUGCCGCGUGAGUGAAGAAGGCCUUCGGGUCGUAAAACUCUGUAUAAGAGAAGAACAAAUUGUAGAGUAAC